This 58-nucleotide ribosomal RNA is filed under the name Corynelia uberata. RNAcentral's name for it is "partial 28S ribosomal RNA". It matches the Rfam family "Eukaryotic large subunit ribosomal RNA", at positions 1 to 57 of the family's 3401-position model. Lineage: Eukaryota; Fungi; Ascomycota; Eurotiomycetes; Coryneliales; Coryneliaceae. The record is from RNAcentral.
UGAACCUCAGAUCAGGUAGGGAUACCCGCUGAACUUAAGCAUAUCAAUAAGCGGAGGA